GAAGGGCAAACUGGCGCUAAAAUCACAAGAAAGAUGCAGACGCACAAAACAGGCGUUAGUGGUGCAGACACCGCUGAAAACGAAACCCCGUCAUCUGAAGUUGAACUCGAAGGAAAUGAAGGGAACCCCUGGCCAUAUUCAUGCUUUAUUGUGCAGUGUAAGCUGUGCUUUCCUAGGGAGACCAAACUAGCAGCUUAUAAAAUCUCGACAUCAACCCUUCGCAAGCAUGUAGAGCGUUUGAAGCUUACGGGAUCAGUUGGAUUGCUGGUUUGGACCUGUGGUGUGGGGCCUCCACCUUUGGCUUUAAUAAGCUGUGAGUAACAAAUUUGAAAUAAAACCUUAACUGGAGUAACACAAAAGACCAAACGCAAGACAGGAGACCACGGGCAAGAUCAUGACCCCCCCACCCCACCCCAGGAGCAGAUUCCAGAUGCUCCAAAAUAAACACAUAAAAUCCAGGAGGUUCAGGUCCAUGUGCCAAAGGAGGGCCUGGAGACUGAGGCAGAGCUGGCCGAGCAGGGUGCCAGGGUGGAGCAGAAGACCACCACAGAGCAGACGGGAUUGAAGAUUCCCAUGGAGGAGUGGAUGACCAGAGCAUAGUCCAGACCGCAGCCAUGAUGGAGGCCCACGGUGGAGUCAAUGGAUGGAGGAGCCAUGGUGGAAGAAGGGCUAUUGCCACCAGGGGCCCAACUGACGGAGACAGAGCCUAGGGCAGAGACAGAGAGACACAGAGCCAAGGCAACACUGAGGAUUCGGAGGGCCAUGGUGGAGCUUACGGCCCAGGUGACUGAGGCGCAGGUGAAGAUCUGGAAGACUGUGGUGGAGCCGGAGCGACAGAGAACCAAGGUGCAGCCCAGGGGAGAGAGGAGUCCAAUGGAGCCAGAGGAGUGAAGGGACGAGGCGAAGCUGGAGGAGUGUAGUCCUUAAAGGAGCCGUAUGUAGGAUUGUGGCCUAAACUGGUACUGCAAUCACUAUAAAAAUACUGUAGAGCGGUGUAUCCCCUCCCCCUACCCCCUGACUCGAGGUGGCCAGAUGAGCUGCAGGAUUCAGCAGAA
Molecule: long non-coding RNA, 1055 nt
Organism: Cyprinus carpio carpio
Lineage: Eukaryota; Metazoa; Chordata; Actinopteri; Cypriniformes; Cyprinidae
Source: Ensembl